UACGAAGGGGGCUAGCGUUGCUCGGAAUCACUGGGCGUAAAGCGCACGUAGGCGGCUUGUUAAGUCAGGGGUGAAAUCCUGGAGCUCAACUCCAGAACUGCCUUUGAUACUGGCGAUCUCGAGUCCGGGAGAGGUCAGUGGAACUGCGAGUGUAGAGGUGAAAUUCGUAGAUAUUCGCAAGAACACCAGUGGCGAAGGCGGCUCUCUGGGACGGUACUGACGCUGAGACGCGAAAGCGUGGGGAGCGAACAGG
RNAcentral lists this ribosomal RNA (253 nucleotides) under uncultured bacterium. RNAcentral describes it as "partial 16S ribosomal RNA". It matches the Rfam family "Bacterial small subunit ribosomal RNA", at positions 524 to 776 of the family's 1533-position model. The record is from RNAcentral.